AACGAACGCUGGCGGCAUGCCUAACACAUGCAAGUCGAACGAGACCUUCGGGUCUAGUGGCGCACGGGUGCGUAACGCGUGGGAACCUGCCCUUAGGUUCGGAAUAACUCCCCGAAAGGGGUGCUAAUACCGGAUAAUGUCUUCGGACCAAAGAUUUAUCGCCUUUGGAUGGGCCCGCGUUGGAUUAGCUAGUUGGUAGGGUAAAAGCCUACCAAGGCGACGAUCCAUAGCUGGUCUGAGAGGAUGAUCAGCCACACUGGGACUGAGACACGGCCCAGACUCCUACGGGAGGCAGCAGUGGGGAAUAGUGGACAAUGGGCGAAAGCCUGAUCCAGCAAUGCCGCGUGAGUGAUGAAGGCCUUAGGGUUGUAAAGCUCUUUUACCCGGGAUGAUAAUGACAGUACCGAGAGAAUAAGCUCCGUCUAACUCCG
RNAcentral lists this ribosomal RNA (431 nucleotides) under uncultured bacterium. Its description in RNAcentral is "partial 16S ribosomal RNA". It matches the Rfam family "Bacterial small subunit ribosomal RNA", at positions 29 to 505 of the family's 1533-position model. The record is from RNAcentral.